Molecule: ribosomal RNA, 417 nt
Filed under: bacterium enrichment culture clone ALO1_GLFRUDD03F6708
Lineage: Bacteria
Also listed under: 3 other names
Description: bacterial SSU rRNA
Rfam family: Bacterial small subunit ribosomal RNA
Source: RNAcentral
GAGUUUGAUCCUGGCUCAGAUUGAACGCUGGCGGCAUGCCUUACACAUGCAAGUCGAACGGCAGCACGGGAGCUUGCUCCUGGUGGCGAGUGGCGAACGGGUGAGUAAUGCAUCGGAACGUAUCCUGGAGUGGGGGAUAACGUAGCGAAAGUUACGCUAAUACCGCAUAUUCUGUGAGCAGGAAAGCGGGGGACCUUCGGGCCUCGCGCUCUUGGAGCGGCCGAUGUCGGAUUAGCUAGUUGGUGAGGUAAAGGCUCACCAAGGCGACGAUCCGUAGCAGGUCUGAGAGGAUGAUCUGCCACACUGGAACUGAGACACGGUCCAGACUCCUACGGGAGGCAGCAGUGGGAAUUUUGGACAAUGGGGGCAACCCUGAUCCAGCCAUGCCGCGUGAGUGAAGAAGGCCUCGGUUGUAAG